AUUGAACGCUGGCGGCAUGCUUUACACAUGCAAGUCGAACGGCAGCGCGGGCUUCGGCCUGGCGGCGAGUGGCGAACGGGUGAGUAAUGCAUCGGAACGUGCCCAGUAGUGGGGGAUAGCCCGGCGAAAGCCGGAUUAAUACCGCAUACGACCUGAGGGUGAAAGCGGGGGACCGAAAGGCCUCGCGCUAUUGGAGCGGCCGAUGUCGGAUUAGCUAGUUGGUAGGGUAAAGGCUUACCAAGGCGACGAUCCGUAGCUGGUCUGAGAGGACGACCAGCCACACUGGGACUGAGACACGGCCCAGACUCCUACGGGAGGCAGCAGUGGGGAAUUUUGGACAAAGGGGGCAACCCUGAUCCAGCCAUGCCGCGUGCGGGAAGAAGGCCUUCGGGUUGUAAACCGCUUUUGUUCGGGAAGAAAUCCUCUGGGCUAAUACCCCGGGGGGAUGACGGUACCGGAAGAAUAAGCACCGGCUAACUACGUG
This 484-nucleotide ribosomal RNA is filed under the name uncultured bacterium. RNAcentral describes it as "partial 16S ribosomal RNA". It matches the Rfam family "Bacterial small subunit ribosomal RNA", at positions 29 to 507 of the family's 1533-position model. The record is from RNAcentral.